Molecule: ribosomal RNA, 1325 nt
Filed under: metagenome
Description: bacterial LSU rRNA
Rfam family: Bacterial large subunit ribosomal RNA
Source: RNAcentral
AGUGGAUGGGGAGCAACCUAGUUGUGCGUGUGUAAAGGUAGUGCCAAGAAAAGCGAUGAUCAUGUUGAAAAUCAAUUCCCGGUACCCGAAACCGACACAGGUGGGCAAGUAGAGAAUACUAAGGGGCGCGAGGUAACUCUCUCCAAGGAACUCGGCAAAAUGACCCCGUAACUUAGGGAGAAGGGGUGCCACCGAGAGGUGGUCGCAGUGAAGAGGCCCAGGCGACUGUUUAGCAAAAACAUAGGUCUCUGCAAACUCGAAAGAGGAGGUAUAGGGGCUGACGCCUGCCCAGUGCCGGAAGGUUAAAGAAGUUGGUCAGUCUUAGGAUGAAGCUAGCGACUGAAGCCCCGGUGAACGGCGGCCGUAACUAUAACGGUCCUAAGGUAGCGAAAUUCCUUGUCGGGUAAGUUCCGACCCGCACGAAAGGCGUAACGAUCUGGGCGCUGUCUCGGAGAGAGGCUCGGCGAAAUAGGAUUGUCUGUGAAGAUACGGACUACCUGCAUUUGGACAGAAAGACCCUAUGAAGCUUUACUAUAGCUUGGAAUUGUGUUCGGGCUUCCUGUGCGCAGGAUAGGUGGGAGGCGUAGAAGGUAUUCUUGUGGGGAUACUGGAGCCAACGGUGAGAUACCACUCUCAGGAGGCUAGAAUUCUAACUUAAUUAAGGACAGUUUCAGGUGGGUAGUUUGACUGGGGCGGUCGCCUCCAAAAAGGUAACGGAGGCGUACAAAGGUUCCCUCAGACUGGUUGGAAAUCAGUCUAAGAGUGCAAAGGCAGAAGGGAGCUUGACUGCGAGAAGUACAGUUCGAGCAGGGUGGAAACACGGUCUUAGUGAUCCGACGGUGCUGUGUGGAAGGGCCGUCGCUCAACGGAUAAAAGUUACUCUAGGAUAACAGGCUGAUCUCCCCCAAGAGUUCACAUCGACGGGGAGGUUUGGCACCUCGAUGUCGGCUCAUCGCAACCUGGGGCGGAAGUACGUCCCAAGGGUUGGGCUGUUCGCCCAUUAAAGCGGUACGUGAGCUGGGUUCAGAACGUCGUGAGACAGUACGGUCCAUAUCCGAUGUAGGCGUGAGAAUAUUGAGAGGAGCCUUCCUUAGUACGAGAGGACCGGGAAGGACGCACCGCUGGUGUACCUGUUAUGAUGCCAAUUGUAAACGCAGGGUAGCCAAGUGCGGAGAGGAUAACCGCUGAAAGCAUCUAAGUGGGAAGCCCACCUCAAGAUGAGUAUUCUGGUGUAAGGUCACGGGAAGACGACCCGUAAAUAGGCACGAGGUGGAAGUGCAGAGAUGUAUGAAGCCGAAGUGUACUAAUAGACCGUCGGCUUGACC